This 202-nucleotide unclassified non-coding RNA is filed under the name Hevea brasiliensis (rubber tree). Lineage: Eukaryota; Viridiplantae; Streptophyta; Magnoliopsida; Malpighiales; Euphorbiaceae. The record is from RNAcentral.
GGUGUCACUAGCAUCAGUCUGAAGAAUCCGAUGUCCUAUGCUGUGAAUCUUUAGAGGUGACGGACUUAAAGCCACUCAUUUUAAUGCUUUGACUGCAUCUGUUUGUUCUUUCUUCCAAGGUGGAGCAGUCUUCUUAAACAUUUUUUAUAGCUGGCUGGUGUGGGUAACCACAUGAGGAAUAAACUUCCUGAUGUAAUUGAUA